GUUGAAGAGAAGAGUAGCAGAAAAUGGCAAAUCACGCUAUGGAGGGUAAGGUUACCCUGAGAAAGACCAUUGGCUUUUUUAGUGGAGUUAAUUUUAUAAUUGGAGUCAUAAUAGGAUCUGGAAUUUUUACAUCACCGGGAGGAGUGCUACUAUAUUCACAGCUAAAUGUUGGAAUCUCAUUGGUAAUAUGGGCUGCAUGCGGAGUUAUUUCAAUGCUGGGUGCUUUGUGCUAUGCAGAACUAGGAACCACUUUUCCAUCAUGCGGAGGGGAGUAUUUUUAUAUUAAAAGGGGUCUUGGUUCAUUGCCUGCAUUUAUUUUCUUAUGGACAGGAGUUCUAUUUACGGGACCUGCUGUAACCACUCUUAAUGCUUUAAUGUUCUCUGAAUAUGCUGUUCAGCCUUUUUUCCCAGGAUGCCAUACACCAGAACUAAUCAAAAAGGCAGCAGCCAUUGCUAUUAUUUUGAUAGUAGGAAUUAUUAAUUGUCUAAACACCAAGUGGAUUGUGGUCAUCCAAAACAUAUUUUCAGUUCUGAAGAUGGUUGUCCUCGCAGCAAUAGCUAUAUGUGGACUGGUUCAUUUGGCAAUGGGAAAAACACAAAAUGUACAGAGAGCAUUUGAUGGAGAUAUUCCAAAUGUAUCACAGUUUGGAGAAGCCUUCUAUCAAGGAAUGUUUGCAUACGGUGGAUGGAAUGUUCUCAAUUUUACCAUUGGUGAGUUA
Molecule: non-coding RNA, 719 nt
Organism: Pelobates cultripes (western spadefoot toad)
Lineage: Eukaryota; Metazoa; Chordata; Amphibia; Anura; Pelobatidae
Source: the annotation of a GenBank genome assembly